CUGGGGUUCAAUCCACGGUUCCACAAAAAAAAAAAAAAAAAAAGAUUAGCAUGGCCUCUGCACAAGGAUGACAUGCAAAUUGGUGACGUGUUCCAUAUUUUA
Small nuclear RNA from Octodon degus (degu), 102 nucleotides. Lineage: Eukaryota; Metazoa; Chordata; Mammalia; Rodentia; Octodontidae. The record is from RefSeq and is a predicted model, not a curated record.